Podarcis lilfordi (Lilford's wall lizard) is the source of this 75-nucleotide non-coding RNA. NCBI's taxonomy places the organism in Eukaryota, Metazoa, Chordata, Lepidosauria, Squamata, Lacertidae. The record is from the annotation of a GenBank genome assembly.
GGAAGGGCCGUAGCUCAAUGGCAAAGCAUCCGCUUUGCAUGCAAAAGAUCCCAGGUUCAAUCCCCAGCCUCUCUA